GAUGAAGAACGUAGCGAAAUGCGAUAAGUAGUGUGAAUUGCAGAAUUCAGUGAAUCAUCGAAUCUUUGAACGCAUAUUGCGCUCUCUGGUAUUCCGGAGAGCAUGCUUGUUUGAGUAUCAGUAAACACCUCAACUCCCUUUUCUUUUUUGAAAUGGGAGCUGGACUUGAGUGAUCCCAACUCUUUUCUCACUGGAAAGUGGCGGGUCACUUGAAAUGCAGGUGCAGCUGGACUUUUCUCUGAGCUAUAAGCAUAUCUAUUUAGUCUGCCUAAAAAACAGAUUAUUACCUUUGCUGCAGCUAACAUAAAGGAGAUGAGUUCUUGUGCUGACUGAUGCAGGAUUCACAGAGACAGCUUUGCGGCUGACUUUGUAAACUCGAUCUCAAAUCAAGUAAGACUACCCGCUGAACUUAAGCAUAUCAAUAAGCGGAGGA
RNAcentral lists this unclassified non-coding RNA (433 nucleotides) under soil metagenome. RNAcentral describes it as "partial contains 5.8S ribosomal RNA, internal transcribed spacer 2, and large subunit ribosomal RNA". The stretch from base 1 to 120 matches the Rfam family "5.8S ribosomal RNA", at positions 35 to 154 of the family's 154-position model. The record is from RNAcentral.